RNAcentral lists this long non-coding RNA (542 nucleotides) under Homo sapiens (human). Its description in RNAcentral is "non-protein coding lnc-FRMD4A-5:1". The record is from RNAcentral. Lineage: Eukaryota; Metazoa; Chordata; Mammalia; Primates; Hominidae.
AUUCAGUUGCAUACAGUUCCUGCUUUCAGAAGUUGCUAGAGUGUUUCUCUUUGAACUUGAACUGUGGCUCUUUUGAUAUCCAGAAAGAGAGUUCUUUGUGGGGAUGGUUAAUUCUUGUUUUGGGUGCUUUUCUUCACCGCUCUAAGGAACUACCACAGUCAGAAGGUGCAUUCUUACUGCGAUCUUUUUAUUUGCUACCUUGGGCUUAAGGAGCCUGCCUAUAUCUACUGAGGUGAGGUUAGGUCAGUCUCUGUAACCGUUCGUCACUUAGGCCUUGAUGGGUGACAUGGAUGGGGAUGACUUCCUGGGCUAACUCUUCUCUUGCUAAAGGAUGAUUUUUCACCACCUUGAAUGCCCAUGAUUAAAACAUAAACAAGAAAAUAGAUAUCUGAGGAGAAUGCAGUUGAAACUAAUUUUGUGGAUAGAGAAACUGUUGGAACUGCUUUACAAAGUAUUUUAGUCCAAGGGGUCAAAAGAAUAGGAACAUAAACCAGACAUGUUCUUUGCAGUGAAGAGAGGAUAAGAUUUAUAUCCACAUUGCU